Molecule: ribosomal RNA, 253 nt
Filed under: uncultured bacterium
Lineage: Bacteria
Description: partial 16S ribosomal RNA
Rfam family: Bacterial small subunit ribosomal RNA
Source: RNAcentral
UACGUAGGUGGCAAGCGUUAUCCGGAUUUAUUGGGCGUAAAGGGAACGCAGGCGGUCUUUUAAGUCUGAUGUGAAAGCCUUCGGCUUAACCGGAGUAGUGCAUUGGAAACUGGGAGACUUGAGUGCAGAAGAGGAGAGUGGAACUCCAUGUGUAGCGGUGAAAUGCGUAGAUAUUUGGAAGAACACCAGUGGCGAAAGCGGCUCUCUGGUCUGUAACUGACGCUGAGGUUCGAAAGCGUGGGUAGCAAACAGG